CCCUGAAAACUGUAAGCUGGCAGAAGGUGUAAGCAGGUACUUAUAUGCUAUGCAAUGUAACAGCCAUGUUAUAACUCUGAGUUGCACCACCAUGCCAAGAUAAAUAAUUGAUCAUCAUCAAGAUAUGACACCAAUGAGAUAGACAGUGUGCAGCGCAUUAAAUCGACACGAAUAAAAGUUAUGUGCAAUAAAUUAUCGAUAAAACAGCCAUGAUGGGGCCACUUACUGCUAAAUUGAAGAUUCCAAGGUUGGAAAGGAACUUGUAGCAUUCUUGUGGCAAGGGGAGGGUAGGGGGAGGUUGUCGGCAACUAAAAUGUUGUCGCUGAUUCAUUGUUUAAAGAAUCAGCUUUGUUGGAUGUUUCGUUCGAAUCUAUUGGAAGAAAAAACGUGGAGUCCGUGAGAAAGUAAUUCGUCGGGAACGAAAUUUCAAGAGGAUUAAAUUCAACUUCUCACCUGCACACCCCUUGUUACGUCAUAAUCCUAUCACCGCCUCUAUAAUACUUUCAGUGUUGCCAGCAACAAAUUUUUUUUUUAUUUCGCGAAAAAUAAAAAAAAUAAACCAGUGAUGCCGAAUUAUAAAACAACAUUUUACCUAAAAAAUUUUGAUUAUGUUUUUUUUUUUUUUGUCUGGCAUCACUUUUGCCACUUACGUAUGUACGUUACACUUGAUGUAUUUACCUACCGUCUAAACAGGGAUUAACAGAAUCCUGAAGUCACUUGAUAGCCCGACAAAACUUCGCUUAAGUUUUAAAGCCCACUACUGAUGUAUCGUGAUGUAAAAACGAGAAAGACAACGAAACUUUUGCUCACAAAAAAUAUUGUUUAAAAAAAUUAGUUUUUUUCGUAAAAAAAAUGUAGACAGAUAAAAAUGCGCUACAGAACUGUACAAAACUAUUUUUGAGUUUUUUCGAAAAAGGAAUCGUAGAAUCGCAGACAACGCCCUUAUUAAUCACAUGUUGUUCUUAUAUAAGGAAAUUAUAAGCAACAUAUUUUUAAAAUAUUCGAUGUUAUUUGAAUCUGACUUUUACCGAGUCUGACCUAAAUAUCAUAUUAAUCUGUUACUUCUGCUACCAGGAGCAUGGUCUAUCAUAUUCUUUCAACGACUCGCCUGGUAUAAAAAACGUAGUGUAUUUCCGACGACUUUUUUCGAUGAACUUUUUUAAAUAAAUUUUAAAAUCAGAGAAUGUGGGAGAUCAUUUUCUCUGAUGAACUCUUGCCGGAUAGCGGACGAAACGGCGCAAAUGCACUAAAUUUUUCCUACUAUUUCAUACUAUAUCCGUAUUCUACUCUAUAUGUCGUAACGAGAAAACUUCUACCGCGAGUCACGCAAGUACAAUUGGGAUAAACGCAAAGUUUUUACCCCAAACACGUCUUUUGCAUUGUUCCCAUGCAUGGCUGUUCUAUUUUAUAUAGGCAUACCCCAAGUAUAUAAUACCCAUAACAUGCCCGUUAUAUAUAGCGACGCAGGGAUUUGGUUAGGAUUUGACCUCCUUUUCGAAAUUCCGUUUUUUUUUUUUAAUAAACCAAAAGUUCUGGUACUUAUUACACUACACGAUAAUAUGCAUAACCUGUUAAUACAACGGCACCGCACAUUUAAAAUAUCUACAUACCACCACCGCCUGUUGUUUUGGUUCUACAAGUCUGACCUUCUCAACCCGCGUGUUCAUUACACCAGAUUAUUACCUGCCUCGCGUAUCGAAACAACGUUUGAUUAUUUUGUCGUUAACUUAGCGAGAAAUUCAUCCGCGUUUACCGUUCAACCGGAGGUCGCUUUAAUAGAACAGAACACGCCGAGUACUAUGACGUUACAAUCCUUAUUGACGUAACAAUGCUGAUUGUUAACCACGAAUGAGUAUUCUGGUUAUUUACGCUCCUAAAUAUACAGGAAUUCGUGCUCGCUAGAUGGCGUUAAAGCGAGGUUAAUUAUUCCCAGCGCGUCGAGCAAUUUCGCGCUUCGUUUGUCGCAGAUCAGACGCGUUAAUUGUGAGCUCAUAAUGGCAGAUGAUUCACCUUUAUUACGUCAUCAAUAGCGGAUUGUUAAGGCGUGACGUCACAAAUGUGUCUUCGAUUUAUCGGCGACUUCUUGUUAAUUCGAAUAAAUUAAAAUAAAUCAACUUUAAAUUCGAAACUUUAAUUGGCUGAAUUGUAUUCUUAUCCAUGGUUAAAUACGAUCAACCUGAUCUGUUUAAAAACUUCUUUUAAUUGAUUAGUUUUUGCUUAUUAUAAAAACGUUUUUUACUUCUUUAUACUAAAUGGGCCGAGUAAAUGCAACUUAUUUAUCCUCGCGUGGCCGGAAA
Non-coding RNA from Ciona intestinalis (vase tunicate), 2297 nucleotides. The record is from RefSeq and is a predicted model, not a curated record. NCBI's taxonomy places the organism in Eukaryota, Metazoa, Chordata, Ascidiacea, Phlebobranchia, Cionidae.